AUCGUAGAAUGACUCUCGGCAACGGAUAUCUAGGCUCUUGCAUCGAUGAAGAACGUAGCGAAAUGCGAUACUUGGUGUGAAUUGCAGAAUCCCGUGAACCAUCGAGUCUUUGAACGCAAGUUGCGCCCGAUGCCAUUAGGUUGAGGGCACGUCUGCCUGGGUGUCACAU
RNAcentral lists this ribosomal RNA (169 nucleotides) under Ononis adenotricha. RNAcentral describes it as "5.8S ribosomal RNA". It matches the Rfam family "5.8S ribosomal RNA". From Rfam's summary of the family: 5.8S ribosomal RNA (5.8S rRNA) is a component of the large subunit of the eukaryotic ribosome. It is transcribed by RNA polymerase I as part of the 45S precursor that also contains 18S and 28S rRNA. The record is from RNAcentral. Lineage: Eukaryota; Viridiplantae; Streptophyta; Magnoliopsida; Fabales; Fabaceae.